GACGAACGCUGGCGGCGUGCUUAACACAUGCAAGUCGAGCGGAAAGGCCCUUCGGGGUACUCGAGCGGCGAACGGGUGAGUAACACGUGAGUAACCUGCCCCAGACUUUGGGAUAACCCUCGGAAACGGGGGCUAAUACCGGAUACGACACAGCUUCGCAUGGGGUCUGUGUGGAAAGUUUUUCGGUUUGGGAUGGGCUCGCGGCCUAUCAGCUUGUUGGUGGGGUGAUGGCCUACCAAGGCGACGACGGGUAGCCGGCCUGAGAGGGCGACCGGCCACACUGGGACUGAGACACGGCCCAGACUCCUACGGGAGGCAGCAGUGGGGAAUAUUGCACAAUGGGCGGAAGCCUGAUGCAGCGACGCCGCGUGAGGGAUGACGACCUUCGGGUUGUAAACCUCUUUCAGCAGGGACGAAGCGUAAGUGACGGUACCUGCAGAAGAAGCGCCGGCCAACUACGUG
Molecule: ribosomal RNA, 462 nt
Filed under: uncultured bacterium
Lineage: Bacteria
Description: partial 16S ribosomal RNA
Rfam family: Bacterial small subunit ribosomal RNA
Source: RNAcentral